AUAUGUCCGCCAUUUAAUUGUUAAAGAAUAAAUCAGUAUCUGCAAGACAUGCUACACUAAUGUCUAUGUGACUCAUGGGAUUUAUAUGAGCCUUUCGUGUGUUCGUUUCGUCCCUCAAUAUUUGCUACUUGUUUUGCUUGUCGCCUUAGGCUUUUAUCCUUUUGAAACUCCAUAUAUGUCUAUGCUUUUUUCCCCUUUUUAGGAUUAGGAGUCCUAAACCCCGGGACUGACCGGUUAGGAUGGGUAUUAGCAUGCAAUAAGUAAACUAGACUAAUCGUGUUUAAUACCUUAACGGGGUGGGAAAGGUAGAAUAUGGAUAUGAUGAUUGGUGCG
This 333-nucleotide long non-coding RNA is filed under the name Nicotiana benthamiana. Its description in RNAcentral is "long non-coding RNA (NBEN_LNC036195)". Lineage: Eukaryota; Viridiplantae; Streptophyta; Magnoliopsida; Solanales; Solanaceae. The record is from RNAcentral.